CUAAGUGUAAAUAUACCACUUUGAAACUGCGAAUGGCUCAUUAUAUCAGUCAUAGUUUGUUUGAUAAUCCCUUACUACUUGGAUAACCGUAGUAAUUCUAGAGCUAAUACAUGCAUCAAUACUUUUAAAGGUAGUAUUUAUUAGAUUGAAACCAAUCCCUUCGGGGUGACAUGGUGAUUCAAAGUAAGUUUGCAGAUCGCAUGGCUAUGCUGGCGAUGGAUCUUUCAAGUUUCUGCCCUAUCAGCUUUGGAUGGUAGGGUAUUGGCCUACCAUGGCUUUAACGGGUAACGGAGGAUUAGGGUUUGAUUCCGGAGAGGGAGCCUUAGAGAUGGCUACCACAUCCAAGGAAGGCAGCAGGCACGUAAAUUACCCAAUCCUAAUACAGGGAGGUAGUGAUAAUAAAUAACAAUGCGGGGCCUUUCUAGGUCUGGCACUUGGAAUGAAAACAAUUUAAAUCCCUUAUUAAGGAUCAAUUGGAGGGCAA
RNAcentral lists this ribosomal RNA (484 nucleotides) under uncultured eukaryote. RNAcentral describes it as "SSU rRNA". It matches the Rfam family "Eukaryotic small subunit ribosomal RNA", at positions 59 to 558 of the family's 1831-position model. The record is from RNAcentral.